UGAUCUCCUCUCUUUCAAUCAACCCUUGAUUGUACUUGAGAGGAGGAAGAAGAAGGAUGAAGAAGAGGAAGAAGAUCCAAGCCCCUGCAGCCUUCUUUCUAUCUCCCUGCGUUGGAUGGAGGAAGAGAGGGGAAGGAGGCCGCCACCCUUUCUUUUGCCUUCUCUCUUGCUUGCGGCUGAAACAAGGGAGGAUGAGGGAUGGCCACGGCUUGGAGGAGGAAGAGAGGGGUUC
This 232-nucleotide long non-coding RNA is filed under the name Phoenix dactylifera (date palm). Its description in RNAcentral is "long non-coding RNA (PDAC_LNC020673)". The record is from RNAcentral. Lineage: Eukaryota; Viridiplantae; Streptophyta; Magnoliopsida; Arecales; Arecaceae.